AUGCGCGCACUUCUCAUUCCCUGCGCCUCCUGCGAGCAGACGGCCCAGGGCAUCAGAAGCGCUGGGCUCCACGUUCCCGAAGUCGGCCCAGCUUCCGAGUCGGACAGGGGACGCGGCCCCGCCAGGGAGCAGAGCGGAGGCUGGACGCGGCGCUGCGCUCGCUUUCACACCUCUCUGCCGAAUCAAAGCACCUCCCCACGGCCCACCGGCCGCCGGCGCGCACCCCGCUCCGGGUUUUUCUCCUGCGGGAACCCGGCCCGCCUGCGGCCCGGCGCGGGCAACGCGGAGCCCCGCGAAAGGCCCAAAUCGGCAGCGCGCGCCACGCCGGGCGCGGGGGGCGGACGCCGGCUGGUUUCCUGCCGGGAAGGGGCGCGGGGUGCCGCGGGGUCCCAGCCGCGCCGCCAGCCCCCGGCACCGGCCGCAGCGCGAGCAGCUCCCGCGGAUCGGCCCGAAGCAGCGCGCGGGGCUGCCUUUCGCUGCGCCCUUUCCGCAGCGCCCAGAAAUCAUCCGGACUCGUUGGCCAAAGCGCUACGGCCACGGGGAAGCGAUGCCUUCUGCACUACCCGCAGCGCUCUGAAGAGGGAGUCUAUGCUCAAGCUAAACGAAGCCGACACCCAAAGCUCCGCCGGCACCGCCGAGCGGGACGGGGCCGCGCACGGUUGGCACCGGCGGUUCCGAGCGCGGCGAGGUGCGCGCAUGGAGCGGCAGCGCUCCGCAGCCGAGCCGGCAGGAACGCAGCGCGUGUCGCUCCCGGGCAGGGACCCCGAGCAAGGUGUCACUGACCGCAAGCCCAGCAUCUGCGGCCCGCGUUUCCACCGCAUUCGCACCUGCUCAAGACCAGCGGCAGCAACGCAGAGCUCUGCCCGCACCGCCGGGCAAUUCGGGCAGCUCGUCACAGCCCCCGCAACCCAUCCCCGCUGCCUGGCAGAUUCCAUUCCCCUGGCUCGACUUACUUUACCACGUGCCAAAGAUGCACUUCCCAAGCUUUAUUUGUUUUUAAAACAAAAAUCAGAGCUCGGUCAUAACUGGAAACGGCCCGGUGGAGCUGUGCUGGGCGCUGACUUUAAGGUGAACCAGACCAGACCGCAGCCAGCGGGGAUUCGCUCGGCUGCGCUCCGGGGCAGAGGCGGCACCGGGCGGCUGCACGGCACGGAAUGGCUGCGCCACUGCAGGAUGAGCGAGCCCGGGCGCGGGGCAGGCCGCUGA
Molecule: long non-coding RNA, 1206 nt
Filed under: Phasianus colchicus (ring-necked pheasant)
Lineage: Eukaryota; Metazoa; Chordata; Aves; Galliformes; Phasianidae
Description: lncRNA (ENSPCLG00000015774.1)
Source: RNAcentral